Molecule: unclassified non-coding RNA, 329 nt
Filed under: soil metagenome
Description: partial contains 5.8S ribosomal RNA, internal transcribed spacer 2, and large subunit ribosomal RNA
Rfam family: 5.8S ribosomal RNA (bases 1-120)
Source: RNAcentral
GAUGAAGAACGCAGCGAAAUGCGAUAAGUAGUGUGAAUUGCAGAAUUCAGUCAAUCAUCGAAUCUUUGAACGCACAUUGCGCCCCUUGGUAUCCCGAGGGGCAUGCCUGUUCGAGCGUCAUUUCACCACUCAAGCCUGGCUUGGUGUUGGGCGACGUCCUCUUUGGGGACGCGCCUCGAAACGCUCGGCGGCGUGGCACCGGCUUUAAGCGUAGCAGAAUCUUUCGCUUUGGAAGUCGGGGCCCCGUCUGCCGGAAGACCUGCUCGCAAGGUUGACCUCGGAUCAGGCAGGGAUACCCGCUGAACUUAAGCAUAUCAAUAAGCGGAGGA